This 494-nucleotide ribosomal RNA is filed under the name uncultured bacterium. Its description in RNAcentral is "partial 16S ribosomal RNA". It matches the Rfam family "Bacterial small subunit ribosomal RNA", at positions 28 to 506 of the family's 1533-position model. The record is from RNAcentral.
GACGAACGCUGGCGGCGUGCCUAAUACAUGCAAGUAGAACGCUGAAGGAGGAGCUUGCUUCUCUGGAUGAGUUGCGAACGGGUGAGUAACGCGUAGGUAACCUGCCUGGUAGCGGGGGAUAACUAUUGGAAACGAUAGCUAAUACCGCAUAAUAGUAGAUGUCGCAUGACAUUUGCUUAAAAGGUGCAAUUGCAUCACUACCAGAUGGACCUGCGUUGUAUUAGCUAGUUGGUGAGGUAACGGCUCACCAAGGCAACGAUACAUAGCCGACCUGAGAGGGUGAUCGGCCACACUGGGACUGAGACACGGCCCAGACUCCUACGGGAGGCAGCAGUAGGGAAUCUUCGGCAAUGGACGGAAGUCUGACCGAGCAACGCCGCGUGAGUGAAGAAGGUUUUCGGAUCGUAAAGCUCUGUUGUAAGAGAAGAACGAGUGUGAGAGUGGAAAGUUCACACUGUGACGGUAUCUUACCAGAAAGGGACGGCUAACUACGU